CAGCAGCCGCGGGAAUACGAAGGGGGCUAGCGUUGCUCGGAAUUACUGGGCGUAAAGGGAGCGUAGGCGGACUGUUUAGUCAGAGGUGAAAGCCCAGGGCUCAACCUUGGAAUUGCCUUUGAUACUGGCAGUCUUGAGUACGGAAGAGGUAUGUGGAACUCCGAGUGUAGAGGUGAAAUUCGUAGAUAUUCGGAAGAACACCAGUGGCGAAGGCGACAUACUGGUCCGUUACUGACGCUGAGGCUCGAAAGCGUGGGGAGCAAACAGGAUUAGAUACCCGCGUAGUCCCUGUCUCUUAUAC
RNAcentral lists this ribosomal RNA (301 nucleotides) under uncultured bacterium. Its description in RNAcentral is "partial 16S ribosomal RNA". It matches the Rfam family "Bacterial small subunit ribosomal RNA", at positions 509 to 807 of the family's 1533-position model. The record is from RNAcentral.